GGUCAUGUAGCUUAGUAGUAGAGUGAAUGCUUAGCAUGCAUGAGGUCCCAGGUUCAAUCCCCAGCAUCUCCA
RNAcentral lists this transfer RNA (72 nucleotides) under Loxodonta africana (African savanna elephant). It matches the Rfam family "tRNA". From Rfam's summary of the family: Transfer RNA (tRNA) molecules are approximately 80 nucleotides in length. Their secondary structure includes four short double-helical elements and three loops (D, anti-codon, and T loops). Lineage: Eukaryota; Metazoa; Chordata; Mammalia; Proboscidea; Elephantidae. The record is from Rfam by way of RNAcentral.